GACGAACGCUGGCGGCGUGCCUAAUACAUGCAAGUAGAACGCUGAAGGAGGAGCUUGCUUCUCUGGAUGAGUUGCGAACGGGUGAGUAACGCGUAGGUAACCUGCCUGGUAGCGGGGGAUAACUAUUGGAAACGAUAGCUAAUACCGCAUAAGAGUAGAUGUCGCAUGACAUUUGCUUAAAAGGUGCAAUUGCAUCACUACCAGAUGGACCUGCGUUGUAUUAGCUAGUUGGUGAGGUAACGGCUCACCAAGGCAACGAUACAUAGCCGACCUGAGAGGGGGAUCGGCCACACUGGGACUGAGACACGGCCCAGACUCCUACGGGAGGCAGCAGUAGGGAAUCUUCGGCAAUGGACGGAAGUCUGACCGAGCAACGCCGCGUGAGUGAAGAAGGUUUUCGGAUCGUAAAGCUCUGUUGUAAGAGAAGAACGAGUGUGAGAGUGGAAAGUUCACACUGUGACGGUAUCUUACCAGAAAGGGACGGCUAACUACGUG
This 495-nucleotide ribosomal RNA is filed under the name uncultured bacterium. RNAcentral describes it as "partial 16S ribosomal RNA". It matches the Rfam family "Bacterial small subunit ribosomal RNA", at positions 28 to 507 of the family's 1533-position model. The record is from RNAcentral.